This 114-nucleotide ribosomal RNA is filed under the name Bacillus haynesii. RNAcentral's name for it is "partial 16S ribosomal RNA". It matches the Rfam family "Bacterial small subunit ribosomal RNA", at positions 1 to 111 of the family's 1533-position model. Lineage: Bacteria; Bacillati; Bacillota; Bacilli; Caryophanales; Bacillaceae. The record is from RNAcentral.
UUCAUGGAGAGUUUGAUCCUGGCUCAGGACGAACGCUGGCGGCGUGCCUAAUACAUGCAAGUCGAGCGGACCGAUGGGAGCUUGCUCCCUUAGGUUAGCGGCGGACGGGUGAGU